CAAUAGCUCAAAUUUGAAAUCUGGCGUCUUCGACGUCCGAGUUGUAAUUUGUAGAGGAUGCUUCUGAGUAACCACCGACCUAAGUUCCUUGGAACAGGACGUCAUAGAGGGUGAGAAUCCCGUAUGCGGUCGGAAAGGUGCUCUACACGUAGCUCCUUCGACGAGUCGAGUUGUUUGGGAAUGCAGCUCUAAAUGGGAGGUAAAUUUCUUCUAAAGCUAAAUAUUGGCCAGAGACCGAUAGCGCACAAGUAGAGUGAUCGAAAGAUGAAAAGCACUUUGGAAAGAGAGUUAAAAAGCACGUGAAAUUGUUAAAAGGGAAGGGAUUGCAACCAGACUUGCUCGCGGUGUUCCGCCGGUCUUCUGACCGGUCUACUCGCCGCGUUGCAGGCCAGCAUCGUCUGGUGCCGCUGGAUAAGACUUGAGGAAUGUAGCUCCCUCGGGAGUGUUAUAGCCUCUUGUGAUGCAGCGAGCGCCGGGCGAGGUCCGCGCUUCGGCUAGGAUGCUGGCGUAAUGGUCGUAAUCCGCCC
Molecule: ribosomal RNA, 527 nt
Filed under: Cladosporium sp. 1 SG-2017
Lineage: Eukaryota; Fungi; Ascomycota; Dothideomycetes; Cladosporiales; Cladosporiaceae
Description: eukaryotic LSU rRNA
Rfam family: Eukaryotic large subunit ribosomal RNA
Source: RNAcentral